UACAGAGACUGCAAGCGUUAUUCGGAUUCACUGGGCGUAAAGGGUGCGCAGGCGGUUGGGUGUGUCAGAUGUGAAAUCCCGAGGCUUAACCUCGGAACUGCGUCUGAAACUACUCGACUAGAGUACUGGAGAGGGAAACGGAAUUCACGGUGUAGCAGUGAAAUGCGUAGAUAUCGUAAGGAAGACCAGUGGCGAAGGCGAGUCUCUGGACAGCAACUGACGCUGAGGCACGAAGGCCAGGGGAGCAAACGGG
RNAcentral lists this ribosomal RNA (253 nucleotides) under uncultured bacterium. RNAcentral's name for it is "partial 16S ribosomal RNA". It matches the Rfam family "Bacterial small subunit ribosomal RNA", at positions 524 to 776 of the family's 1533-position model. The record is from RNAcentral.